UGGGCCUAUCAGACAAGGAUCAGGUUUGC
RNAcentral lists this non-coding RNA (29 nucleotides) under Rattus norvegicus (Norway rat). Lineage: Eukaryota; Metazoa; Chordata; Mammalia; Rodentia; Muridae. The record is from RNAcentral.